GGUAAGGAAGAGCGGCAGGGCUGUUCUUGGAUUGGGGAUCAUGCGUUCUGCUGACCUGUUGCUGGACGGUGACCGGCCGUCGUGCCCACUGCGUCAAUGUUAGCAUUAUGGGAGGAAUCAGCCACCACGCACGCACCCCUUCUCUUUUCCGGUUGCCCGUUUGUGCACGCGUGUUUUGCACGUGGCCUUCUCUGUGAGCUGUCGACGUGAGUCACCGUGCACACUUGUGCUCUUCGCAUGUUUUUGUGGUGUCGGUUUUAGUUUUAUGCUUCCUGGUGUGCUUGUGCACCGCAUCGUGCUGCGCGGGGUUUGUACCGGAGGGCUUGCUCCAACGCGUGCUCCGUAUCGGCUGUCUGACCCUUAUUUUUCCCGGCGCGCCGUGCCUCUCUUCCUGACAACGGGGACCACACGUCACUGUGGCAUCAGUGCCCAGUCCACAUCCCCGCUCUCUGUGCGAGGAAGCCGAGCAGCCCCGCUAUCCCUGCCGAUGCCAAACCCACGUCUCGCCGUCAGAAGGACAGAUGCCUAGGGCGUAGCGCAGUGAGCGCGAUGGAUCGCUGCUGACGUCUGCGGUCAGCUCCAGGACGGCCUGGCGUCGGAGCGGCCUGCGACAGCGUGAGCAUACCUGGCCCAUCCAUAUGAUUAGGCACGAGUGCCCGCGUGACUCGAACGCACCCCACCCCCAUCCCGGCCCUCAACGGCCCACCGGUGCGGGGAGCCUGAGGCCACCCCGAGGACGACGCACCAGGUGGCGAGCAGUAUGAUGGAAGCGGCUGCGAGGCGACCUGUAGAGCGCGGGGUGGGUGGAGUUUGAGGCAGUCGGCCGUGCUCUCAGACGGCUGGGUCGGCGCAUUGCUGUAACGCGGGUGCGUCUACGGCUGCUUCGCAUCACGCGAUGGGGGGUCUGUGUAGCACGCCGGGGAGGAGGAAAGGGGGAGCGGGUUAGAGCGGAACACCGACCUCCUGUUGCAUAGCAGAGAAUGGACACGUCGAAGAUGAACCAAGCGAAAAAAAAGAUUACAUGCUUCUGUUCCGUGUUGUGUGUGUGUGCGCGCGCGCGUGAGGGCGCGGUGCGCCGCCUCAUGAGCGUGGCUCCUCGCUCUUGGUUUUGUGUGUUGUCGUAGUUCAACGUCUGCUGCUUGUCGUUGCUUGGCUUACGUGUCCAUGGGUGGCUCUCCCCUGUGCACCCGUGCCGGCAGCCUACUUGUACUCUUCCCCGUCUUUGCCCUCUUACUUUCCGCUGAGCUCGUUUAUGCGAGUGCGGGUGCACGCAUGUGGCUCUCUUUCUCUUUUCGGGUCUUCCGAUGUUCUCUCUCUCUCGUUCUCUGGGACGCCUGUGUUGCAUGCUUCUUGGACGCAUACAAGCGAAACACAAAAACCCGCGCAUCGUUCACGUGUGCACGCAUCGGCGCAUAGAGAAGAGGGACCAUAAUCGGAGCCUGAGCGGUCGAAGAGGAAAACGGCGGGCACCUCGUCUCUCGCGUUCGAGAGUACUGGUAACGGAAAUGCGCCGUGGCAGCGCGCUUGGAGUGUGUGUCUGUCUGCGUUUUUCUCCUCGACUGGUGCUUGCCGUCCCCCGGCCUUGUUAUGGGUGAUCGCAUCGGCUCCUGGCGUUGCAGGAGAGUGGUGGCGCCGGGGCGAGGUGGAAGUGCUCCUCGUUUGUGUUUCGCGCAUUGCCUUCGAGCCGCCGUCAAGUCGACCGCCAUGAGUCGCGCACAGACGCACGUUGGCGCUCCUGCCUGCCACUGCGUUCUUGCGCGAUACGUGUUGGUGCGUUCAUUUCCUGCCUAACCUCCUCCUUUGCCUCUCUGCACGUGGUGCCUGCGGGCGCCCACCUUCUCCUUUCCUCGGUGCUGAUCGUCGGCAAG
RNAcentral lists this unclassified non-coding RNA (1868 nucleotides) under Leishmania donovani. RNAcentral describes it as "gene:unknown". The record is from RNAcentral. Lineage: Eukaryota; Euglenozoa; Kinetoplastea; Trypanosomatida; Trypanosomatidae.